This 497-nucleotide ribosomal RNA is filed under the name uncultured bacterium. Its description in RNAcentral is "partial 16S ribosomal RNA". It matches the Rfam family "Bacterial small subunit ribosomal RNA", at positions 28 to 507 of the family's 1533-position model. The record is from RNAcentral.
GAUGAACGCUGGCGGCGUGCCUAAUACAUGCCAGUCGAGCGAACAGACGAGGAGCUUGCUCCUCUGACGUUAGCGGCGGACGGGUGAGUAACACGUGGAUAACCUACCUAUAAGACUGGGAUAACUUCGGGAAACCGGAGCUAAUACCGGAUAAUAUAUUGAACCGCAUGGUUCAAUAGUGAAAGACGGUUUUGCUGUCACUUAUAGAUGUAUCCGCGCCGCAUUAGCUAGUUGGUAAGGUAACGGCUUACCAAGGCGACGAUGCGUAGCCGACCUGAGAGGGUGAUCGGCCACACUGGAAGUGAGACACGGUACAGACUCCGACGGGAGGCAGCAGUAGGGACUCUUCCGCAAUGGGCGAAAGCCUGACGGAGCAACGCCGCGUGAGUGAUGAAGGUCUUCGGAUCGUAAAACUCUGUUAUUAGGGAAGAACAAAUGUGUAAGUAACUAUGCACGUCUUGACGGUACCUAAUCAGAAAGCCACGGCUAACUACGUG